This 7913-nucleotide long non-coding RNA is filed under the name Sorghum bicolor (sorghum). RNAcentral's name for it is "long non-coding RNA (SBIC_LNC004213)". Lineage: Eukaryota; Viridiplantae; Streptophyta; Magnoliopsida; Poales; Poaceae. The record is from RNAcentral.
GGCGCGUGCGGCGGCGGACAUGGCCGCAGAUAGUAAGGCGGGGGACGCUGGGUCGAAGGAGGACGACGUGAUGCUGCGGGUGAAGGAGGCGGACCAGAUGACGGGGCAGGCGUUCAACGACGUCGGCCCCAUGGGCGAAGAGGGCACUGGCAUGCCACGGCGACGGCGCUAGCUACCAACCUGCGUUCCAUGGAGACGCCGUUCUAGCUCUGAUGGCCGCUGGAUCGGAGCUGGCUGACCUGGCCGACGUUGUGCUUCAUGUAAAAGUACAAACAAAGGUAUAAAAGAACUACCAUAAAUAAAGAGACGCGACGGAUCUCCUCUUCUCCCUGAAGUUCAUAUAUACAAUAACACAAACUGCAUACUAUUUUGGUUUUUGCAUUUGCGAUAGUCAAGUGUGUGCAUACAUAAGCAAAAGCAACCAUACCUUGAACAUCAUUUCAAUUUGAACGGCCGCAAGAACUGCCUCACAGAGUCAGUCACCGAUAGGCAGUUAGGCAAGCAGCAACUACGCAUACGGCAUGCGCAACAACGUGCCUCCCUUGGAUCUGUCAGCGGAACGCCUCCAACGGCGGCUAGAGCUCUCCGGGUCUUCAGGCAAGCGCAUGCCAGGUCCAGUCUAGCCUCUUCCGCUGUCCUUCAGGUGAUCGUCGUCCGCUACAUGGUCCACUAGAUCUUCAGGUUUCACCACUGUCUUCAAGGCCGCCUUUGACUUUGUUGGCCGCGCCUCACCGCCUUCUCCCUCCCCGUGCCACGCGGCCACGCCAUUGAGGGGUCUCUUCCUCAGCAACAAGCUACAACGCCACGGUUUACCUCGAGCUGAGGCUCAACUAUGUUCGGCAAGUCAACCUCUCGAUCAACCACUACUACAUCAAGAUCAAGCGCCUCGCUGAUCGAUCAGCUUCGCGACAUCGGCCACCUCAUCCCUGAGCCCAUUACCUUACUAAAUCUGCACUGUGGCCUCAACCCUCGUUACUGCUACGACAAGCUGGUCAUCACCUUUAAGUUCCUGUCACACACCUUCAUUAGUGCACGCUCUUUCCUCAUCUUAGAGGAACUUAGUGCCCAACAAAACGCCAAUGUCAAAGCUAAGCAAGCUCUCGCACCACACAUUAGUUGAGCGGUUCUUCUGACAUCACUCAUGCCACUGAUCGAGGACACAUGAGUGGUGCCAGAAGAAUCGCUCGACCGACCACCAUGUGUGGUGGUGAAAGCUUGUCCGGUUUUGACAUUGGCGUCGUGUUGGGCGCUGAGUUUCUCCAAGAUGAGAAAGAAGCGCACCGUCAUAAAGGUGUACGGUAGGAACUUGGAGGUGAUGACCGGCUUGACGUAGCAGUAAUGAGGGUUGAGGCCGCGAAGGAGAUUCAACACCUAGCUUGGCUCGGUGACGGAUGACCAAUGUCACGAAGCUGAUUGGUGAGGUGCUUGAGCUUGGUGCAGUAGUCGUUGAUCGAGAGGUCACCUUGUUGCGUGGAACACAGUUUUCGGCCUCGAGGUAGACCGCGCGCUGUAGCCCAUUGUUGAGGAAGAGGCCCUCGAUGGCGUGCUCUCAGGAGAAGUUGGUGAGGUGAGGUUCAUGAACAUUGUCAAAGACAGCCUUGGAGAUAGUGGUGAAGAUCUAGUUGACAAUACAGGAGUCGGCCUUGCGCAACUCACUGUCACGCUCCUCGGACAGGGUUUCUACAUUUGGAUUCUUGGAGUUAUCGUGUCAUUAGUCUAGGGUUUAUUCUUUUAACCAUGGGUAUUCUUUGUGGAGCAGUAUGGGCUAAUGAGGCAUGGGGAUCCUAUUGGAAUUGGGAUCAUAAGAAAACUUGGGCAUUUAUUACCUAGACCAUAUUUGCAAUAUAUUUACAUAGUAGAACAAAUCCAAAUUGAAAGGGUACGAAUUCCGCACUUGUAGCUUCGAUAGGAUUUCUUAUAAAUUGGAUUUGCUAUUUUGGUAUCAAUCUGUUAGGAAUAGGUUUACAUAGUUACAGUUCAUUUACAUUAAUUACCAUCUAAAUAAUUACAUAACAUAAAACCUUUGGGGUUUUUUCUUUUUUUUGUUUGAUUUGAGAACCCUUUGAUAAGACGUUCAAGGGGUUCUAAAAAAUUCGAGAUAGAUCUAAUUAGACUUUUUUUACUUUUUUCUUAAUUUUAAUUUUUCCACUCUGGAAUAUAGAGCGGACAGGUUAAAAAAAGUUUAUCUAUGCACAGCUUGAUACCCAUUCUUCAUUUCAUCAAGAUCUUCUAAUGUACACUUUCAGCAGCGUAUGGAUCCCACAUCCCUCCUUAACAUUCAUGCAAACAUGUAUACGUACUCCUUGGUCUGGAAGGGUGAAAUAUCUUUAAAUAUCAUUGUCAUUCAUAUGAACAUGUAUACAACUCCGCUUGUCUGGGUCAGUCUCAAAAUAUGUACAUAUAUUGUUUGUUGAGUGAUUCAUUAAAUAUCCUUAAGUUUGACUAAGUAAAUAUAAAUAUACUCAUUUUCAUGGUAUGUAAGAAAUAUCAUUAGAUUGAUAAUUAGACAAAAACACAUAACCUCACCCCCCGUGUUGUUCCCACACGAGCAAUACGGGAGACCCCCUAAAACCCUAGCGCUGCCCCCUUCUCCCUCUCCCUUCGCACUGCCGUCAGAGCUGGCCGCUAGCAUGGCUGCUUAGCUGGCCGAGAUGGCGACGGCGCGGCUCUUCCUCCCUUGAGUGCGGUAGCGCACACGGCAGUAGGCCAACGGUCCCUCCCCUGUACGACUACAUGGAGCUCGGCGAGAAGGCUUCCACGACUGUGGUGGCUCCGGUUGGUGCUUGAGCUAGCACAGAGGAUGGCCACGGGGCUCCCUUAUCUUCUCUGUGCAUCCCAUCCUCCAGAUCUUGAUGGCGGCAGUAGUGGCGGCCCCGGCCGUCGAUCUGGCCCCAUGUUAACUAGAUCUAGCUUGCCUAGGCCAAGCGAACAGCGUGGUGCUCGUGCAGGCGAUUGGGGGAUGCGACAAGGCUGCCUCUUCUUUUCCUUGGCCUGUAUCCUCCCAUCACGGCCUUGGUUGCUGUGUGGCCGGGGUCGGUAGCGACCAGAGCAGUGGACGGCCAAACCUUCCUGGCUGCGGCUACGAUGGCAAUUGUCGACGAAAUAUGGUCGGCAGUCUACCUAGAGGUAUACCCAAAGUAGUAGAUUAGGUGGAGGUGCGUGAGACAAUAAACUAGAUGGUGAUGGAAGACGAAUAGAAGAGUUUUUAUCCAGGUUCGGCCGUCGUGAGGGCAUAAUACCUACGUCCUGCGUCUGGUUUGUAUUAUUGUAUGAUACAAGAUGAGAUCUAUUUAACCUGUCUUCUAGGGAACCUCUGCCUCUCUUUAUAUACUGUAAAGGAACAGAGUUAUAAGUGAAGUAUUCUAUUUGGUACAAUAUCUUCUUGUAGCCUUGCAGUGCACGCCAACCAGUGUCGUGCGCCGCAUGUCUUCAUCUUGUGGCCUGGGCCACCUCCGAUGGUGUGGCCUAUCUCGAACCAUGAGGGUAUAGAGGUUUAUACCCUCACAGUAGCCGGAUGGGCUUGCGUACCCGUGGUGGACGUUGGUGGUGUGGCGUACCGACUAAGUAUGACGCCCACAAAGAUAGUGAAGAGUGAGGCAACAACUUACCAUGGGGCUCUGCUAGGGUCUGCAACCGCUAGAGGCAAGGCACGAGUUCGCAUGAUUGGAAGUCGGAGCUGCUCUCCAUGUGUUUGAGUUUGGUAACGAUGACUGAUUGCGGCUCUUUGCUUCGGCCCAUCAGUGGGUGCCUUGUGGGUGGCUUGUCAUGGGAAGUCGGAGCUACUUGUAGCUUUGCUUCCAUGCUCGACAAUAAUGACACAUGGCAAUGUGUCGUGUUUGUGCUUAGUCGUAUCGCAUGAGCUGGUUAGCGCGCAGAAGUCUUUGGCAUCUCAUCGGGCUAACCUUCUUAUAAAUAAAGUUCAUUAAUCUUUAAUUGAGCGGUAGAGCUCCUAACUUGUUUUAAAAAAAAUUAGUAAUUAAGCCAAAUUUAAUAAUAAUUUUAUGCAGAGAUAAAAUUUUUGAUCCUAUUAUAUACUUGGUCAAUGAUAGAAAUAUUUGAUACUUAUUUUGGGACAGAGAAUGUAGUGUAAAAAAUUGUUACAGUUCUUUAUUUUUUACUAGCAAAAUAUGCCCGUGCGUUGCAACGGAAGGAAAAAAGCUUUUAAACCUUAAUGGAAAGGGACCACUGUAAUGAUAUAAUUUCUAUUUAUAUAUAUUCUUUCUAUAAAACUUGAAAUUUAUAAUUUAUUUUACACUAACUUUGAUAUCCAUAAUAUAACUUAGUGAGCAUAUCUAAGAGUCUUUACAAAUCUCACUCUCUAAAUCAUCAUUUAGAGAACUGUUUCUAUUAAAAACACUUUCUAUAUUUCUUCACUCUCGAACAGCUUUUCUAUCUCUCAUGCGCACUCUAGAGUCAUUCUCGUCUUCUAUUUUUGGCUAGCAAAAAUUCUGGAAUAAAUGCCUAUACUUGCAUAACCAUUUAGACAGAGUCUCUUGGAGUUGCUCUUAAUAUGACAAUAUCUUAUUAAAUUUGUAUCAAAUUAAAAUAUAACCUUGAGAGACUCUUUUGGUGUCUUGUUCUAAGACAAAAAAUAGAUAUAAUUAAAUAUCGAGGUUUGUAACUUUUUUAGACCCAUAAAAUGUUUAAUUGUAGUUCACAAGAAGUUAUUUGCCGACGUGUCAAGAAUUGGUUUGUGCAAUGAUGAUUAUGACGAGAGUUCUCUCUUGAUUUUUUACAUGACAGUCAUCAUCGUUGAUUCUAGAAAUACAUUUAUUUAGACUGGAUUAGACAACAAACCACAACAAACUGAUCAAGAUUUAGUUCAUGGACUACUGGUUGAUUUAGAUUUUAAUGAAAACAAAUUAUUGUAAACAAUACUGCAUCAACAAUUUAGUGACAAAUUUUUCUGUGGGGAUAAUUAAUAAUGACCUUGUUUAUUAUUUUUUUGACAUUUAUAUCUAUACCUAAUACUAAAGAGGCUAUAUCUCUAUCUAAUACUAAAGAGGCAAGAACUAUUUUGGAUGAUCUAAAAUCUAGAUUUGGCAGCCUAGAUACUACAUAGAGAUAUGAUACUUCACCUUGUGUGACACAGAAAAAGGAAUCCUAAUUUUUUUUCUUAGGUGGGGUAUGAUUACAUAAGGUAAACAUGAUAUGAUAAGCAAGGGAGAUCAGACAAAAAAAUAUCAGACUAAAAAAUUAGCUAAAAUUUUGUCUAUUUAACAUCUUAGUGAUAGAAAUAUUUAUCUAUUGAUAGAAUUAUGUAUUAGAAAAGAAAAGACAAAAAACACAAAAAGGAGGCAUGGGACACCAUAAUUUAGGAGCAGGAGUAGCACUUGAUAUGUUACAUAUGGAACACUACCGAACUAUAAACGGGAGAAAAAAACGGAAGAAGAGACGGAAACGAAAAAGGAAGCGGUGGAGCCUGAGCUGGUGGUGUCCGAGCUCAAAAUGGCAAUGGGUACCCGAAACCCGAGUACCCGACGGGUUUUACCCGAUAAGAAUGCGGGUAUGGAAUAGAUUUUGUACCCGCGGGUACGUUAUUGGGUGAAAUCCUUUACCCAUCGGGUAUGGCGGGUACGGGUGUGGAAUAGUAGUACCCAUACCCGCGUACCCGUGGGUAAGAAAUACCCGCAAAAUGAGUAAGCAACCUAAGCAAUUUAGCCCAUAUAGCCCAUGAACUGAUUGGCUGAACGUGGGAAGCGUUGAGCGGUUGGUGUGCUAUUAGUGCUGCUAUUAAUUUGCUGGAAGUUGUUAUGUUUAAUUUCCUAGAAGUUGAGAUAUUUAACUUGCUAAAAGUUGUUAUAUUUCUAUUGAACUCGGGUAUAUUUUCGGGUAUGGAAUACCCGUCGGGUAAGAAUUACCCAUCGGGUGCGGGUACGGAAUGAAUUUCUUACCCGUCUGCUUUCGCGGGUAACCCGAUGGAAUAGUUUUUUGAUCUGGCGGGUGCGGGUACGGGUGGCCAGUACCCACCGGGUAUGUACCCGUUGCCAUUCCUAGUCCGAGCAGGUAGCAGCGUAGCGGGAGGCAGCAGGAGACAGACGAAAAUAAUUUCAGACCAAAAAAUAAGCAGAAAUUUUACCUCUUUAGUAUUAGAGAAGAUAUAGAUAUAGAUAUAGAUAUAGAUAUAGAUAUAGAUAUAGAUAUAAAAGAUCUUAAAUGUACAAUUUGAGGUGUACGGAUGCAAGAUUCAUCAAUGUCGAUCUCUCAUAUAAUUGGAACUUGGCGAACUGGCAUAGAAAACAAGGAGACGGGAUCUUAGUGGUUUUUUUAUGACAAUCUGGGGUGUCGUGGCUUUGUUCAAGGUUACUCUUUAUUGUUUUUUUUGUGCUUCUUAAAAUCCAAAAUAGUUCAUUUUCAACAUGCGGGGCGAGGUUUUUCUAAAUAGACGGUUAGGGAUCGCUCCACUGACCGCACCGGAUUCGCCCGCGUCAAGAGGGAUACUCGACGCCCUGCGUACUGGGACUUUGUCGUCGAGCGAGGUGGAGGGCCUAAACACGCUGUUCCCAGCGUUUAACAGGCGCGCGCGUGAUCUCUUCCAGAAGGACUCGUAGGAUGCAACGUUGAGUGUAUUAUGGUUGACCCAUUUAUGUAAUAUCGGCCCACAGAACUCUUUGCUAGGUCGGUUCAGCUAGUGACCACCUAGCGCGCUUGUUGCGCGUUGAUUGUAUUAUAAACUCUUUUUUCUUAAUAGAAUGAUACGCAGAUGUCCUGCGUAUUCGAGAAAAAAAAACAUGUUUUAUAUUUUUCCACUGCUUCAGUUUAGAUAUACGUCGUUUUACGUACGCGGUGGAAGGGAUGGGGUUGAGCACACCAUGCCGGCAUGCGUGGGUACGUACGUGUCAGGUCGCCUCACACGCGUUGCGCAGCGCGAUACCCCGGGCUUCACCGCCUGCCACGUCACCCUCUGAUGGCCAUCGUUUUUAUUGCCCGCCUCGCGCUAUCGUGCUCCGGCAUCUCACCCAAAGCAUCAACCAGAAGCUUGCACAACCCCCCCGAGAUCGAGUCCGGUGCGCGUGUGUGUCAUGGCGUCCAUGCAGCAGAAGAGCCGCGAGCGCGAGGAGCGCGCGCGGUCCGCGGCGCAGAAGGCGGCCGACGAGCUCGCCGCGUCAAGGCGGGAGGAGGUCCAGCAGGUCCACGAGGAGGCCACCACGCCCAUCAGCCCCCGCGGCGGCGGCAUCCUGAGCAGCGUGCAGGAGAAGGCGGCGGCGGCGAUAGAGCGCGCCAAGGAGUACGCGGUGGAGAAGAAAGAGGGCGCGCGGCAGGCGCUCGCGGGCGACGCCGUGGGGAGGAAGGGCGAGACGGACGAGUCGGCGUGGCAGCAGGGGCAGGACGUGCGGCGGCGCGCCGCCGAGAAGGCCCAGGAGGAGGCGCGGCGGCGCGUGCGCGAGCCAUCCGAGGAGGAGAAGUACGUACACGCUAGUACUCAUCCGUUUCUUCUACCGCAUCUGCAAUUCUGCAUGCAUGCAUGCUUGUGUCGCGCGUGACUCUCUUCUGGAUUUUUGGACUGCGUGCGUGCAGGGGCCGGGCGGCGACGGAGAACAUCUACGGGAAGGGGAAGGGCGCGACGGGCGCGUUCGGGGAGAAGAUGGUGAUGCCGACGGACGUGGUAGAGAGGAAACGGGCUGAGGCGGCGGCCGGUGGCGGGGACGGGGAGGCAGCUGCGGCAUCGCCGCCGGCGCCGGGGAUCGGGGACGACGACGUGAUGCUGCGGGUGAAGGAGGCGGACCAGAUGACGGGGCAGGCGUUCAACGACGUCGGCCCCAUGGGCGAAGAGGGCACUGGCAUGCCACGGCGACGGCGCUAAGCUACCAACCUGCCUGCAUAUGCAGAGACCUGAGGAGGCGGCUGGGCGUUUCCAUUCCAAGGCUGAGAGGCGAGGCGAGGCGAGCAAAGUAGCUAGACAAGUACUAGUC